AAAUCUACUAUGUCCCUGAGCGGAGUGUCAGACUUCAGAGGUCUCCUGCUUAUCAGAGCAUUGCCAUCAGUCAACAGAGUGCAAAGACCUGUUUCCAGGAUGUGGAGACGCAAAGUGGGGACACAAUGAGAAUAUGGCCACCUGCAAACCAGGAUGUAGGCCCUCACCAAACACCGGCCAGUGACAUGCUGAGCCUGAGUCCCCAAGAUUCCAGAACCAUGAGAAAGGAGUGACUGCUGUUUCAGUACAUGGUGUUCUGUUGAAGAACCCCGAGCUAAGGCAGGGAGUGGUGGGGCUGCUCAAUUUCCCAUGGGUAGUGUGGGGUUAAUUGUGGGAAUAGCCGAAUCUCAAGCAGCCUCUACUUGAGAUGCUUAGGAGAGGGUGGCGUGAGCUCAGGAAGCAUGCCAAGAGGAGCUGGGACUAGCAAAGGUAUAAAUGCUUCCACAAACCUGGUGGAGCUCAGGCGGCCCAAGCUCAGGCAUGAACAAUCAACACAUCAAUUCUUCGUUGUUCUUCAGGAAACUUAUUGCAUUUUGCCCAGGUUUCAUUGAUUGUGCGGUUCCGGUUCCUUUAGGAAGUUUCACAAUUUACCAAAGUCCUUGUUAAAUAAACUACAGUCUCGACAAAAACUC
Long non-coding RNA from Peromyscus californicus insignis, 632 nucleotides. RefSeq lists it as uncharacterized. The record is from RefSeq and is a predicted model, not a curated record. The transcript is spliced from 2 exons. Lineage: Eukaryota; Metazoa; Chordata; Mammalia; Rodentia; Cricetidae.